This is an RNA transcript of Poeciliopsis prolifica (blackstripe livebearer), 4002 nucleotides long. It is a transcript of the gene named CD276 antigen-like, with no coding region annotated. The transcript has 6 exons. NCBI's taxonomy places the organism in Eukaryota, Metazoa, Chordata, Actinopteri, Cyprinodontiformes, Poeciliidae. The record is from RefSeq and is a predicted model, not a curated record.
UAACAGUCCUUUAGUUGAAUAAGCUGUGUGGCAACAGCUAUAGCUAUAUGUGAAAUUUCCUGUUAAUGCUGCGUGCUCUGCACCGACGGAAGUAUAAUUUCCGCUGAAAGCAGAGAGCAAGACUUGAAGAUGACUCAGUCUGAGAGGAGUGGCUACAAAACAGGAUACAUCUAUUCAGCGCUUUUACAGAGCGCUGAAUAGAUGGCAUGAUUUAAUGACAGAUUACUGCAGCAAUGGAGCUUCUUUUCCGUGUGUCCUUCUGCCUCCUGACGUUUCUUGGAAAAACGUUUGCUGAUGUCAUCCUGACUACAGAGGGCAGUAAUGUCUGGUUGAACUGCUCUCUCCCUGGAAAGGACCUCACACAUCAAGUGUUCGACUGGAAGAAAGAUGCUCAACAGGAGGUGUUUCUUUAUGCGGACGGCAAGCAUUACAACAACAAAGAAAAAACCGGUCAAGAUGAAAAUUUCAAAGACCGUGUAGAGUUUUUUGAAGAUAAGCUGCAAUCUGGCAAUGCCUCCAUACUUAUCAAAAGCACAAAGGUAACUGAUAGUGGAAACUACAGUUGUGGAUUUCCAGUUCCACCUGUCCAGAGUCAUACACUUAUUGUUGGUAAGUGCAGAGGUUUUGGCCCAAUCUCGAAAGAAAGGAACAAUUCGAACACCACCCUUUAAAAUACCUAUUAUCAUUUUAUGUACAACAUUUUACUCAUUUAACUUUGAUGUUUUCAUUUCACAUUUGAAAUUAGGAUAAAUUUGCUUUCACUCUUAAUCACUUUUAUUUUUAAAAGUGUAUUUAUUUUAACAUAAAAGUUACUAUCAUAUGUCUAUAUUUUUUGUCAAGAACCGGGAAAAAAAACUGAAUUUAAAUGUUAACAUUAAAUAUUUUAUUUACGGUUAUUAAAUUGUACUACAACGUUAUUGAAAAGCUCUUUCAGUGGCUGUGGAUGUUCUAUAUGCAGUCCAUAUGCAGUGGCUGUCAAAACCUCAAGACUGUUUAAAAGUUCAUAUACUUUAAUAUAUUUAUACUAGUAUACAUAUUUUAUGUAAGUUGAACCCAUGUUUAUAUUUGUGUACAAAUCUCUAAAAUCUAAGAAGUUCUUGUCAUAGAUAGAUCUGGAGGGAUAUAAGUUAAAUGUUUUUUACAAUAUUUUAUCAUUUUGAAAAUCUCUCAUCUAAUAGGUUUGAUCUUUACUCUGGUGUAGAGCAACAUAAUUUUACCUCAAAAUGUACUUACAAUUUUAUUUUGUAAAGAUACUGUAAGAAGAACAGUUUCGAUCAAACACAUUUUCUUCAUUUCUUUUGACAUUACGAUGUCCCCAACACUCUGCUUGCUUCACUGUCUUAUUUAUUAUGUAAGCUAGGUGUGGACAACAUUUCUGAACUUCUGUUUCCCAGGGUAUGUUAAUGCAAAGAUGAUAUUGCAUAAACAACUACACUUUCUGUUUUCUCCUUUAGAUUGGAUCUUAACCUCUUAGAGCUGAGUAGAGCCAUGUAUAUUUGCAGGUUUAUUUCAGACAGCUUGUGCUUUUCUUAAAUUUCAAACCUUUUUAAAAUAAAAUAUGUUUGCUACAUCUAAUAAAGAAAGUCAGUGGACAUUCUAUGGGAUAGAUUAGACUAAUAAUUAGACUUAUUGAACUAAGAUGGAUACUUUUUGAGAAGAGUAAGGUCAAAUGUAUUGUUCUAACACAGUUUUUAAAUAUGUUAACUAUAUAUUAUAAUACAACUUAUCAAGCUGGAAUUCACAGGAUAGUACUCUUGUUUUGCCAUCCACCUAUAUGUGCUUUUUAUUACUCAGUGAGUCAUAGAAGCUUAUAUUUUAAAAAGUGCAACACAUAGAGUCACCAGCAGAUGGCCACAGUUUUUAACAAAAAUCGGAUCAAAAUCACCACCACCCCAACACCCACCCCAAACACAAGUAAGCAUAAAGUAUUACAGAAUUACCAUUAACUCUUUUAGAUUUUCUGUGAAUUUGGAACUUUAUUAUCUUUUAACUUUAUGUGUUACAAGGAAACAAAAUAUAUUUCACUUAGUUACGAAGUUGUUCUUCCGGAUGAUUAAUUAUAGCCUAUAUAUAUUUUAUAUAUAUACAUAGCCUAUAUAUUUAUAUAUAAUAUUGCUGACCACAGAGUUCUUAAAGUAGAUAUCUGUAUAUAAAGACAAAAUGUUGCUUGUGUAGUUUCCUCUCAUAUAAUUAUUGUUGGCUGGCAAAGUCAGAUGCUAACUUUGCUAAAUGCGGUCUACAAAACGUGAUUGAUUUGUUUGUUUACCGACCUCAGAAAUAACGUGCUUCAUUCAGGCUGUUUGUCGAAUAAGUUAUGGAAGCCUUGUUCACAUAGGUUUUGAAAGUCUGGAAGUUUAGCCUUUACGUUUAGAUUACGCUGAAAUCCUACAAUAAACGAUUGCGUUUCAGUUUAAGUUGCACAAAAGUUUAGAAGCUGGAUACUCAACCUCUGCGAUUAUCAUAGUAGACCAGCUGCAAUUUAUAUAACCUAUUUGUUUGGGUUACAUAUACUUUUUAACUACUGUUGAUAUGUAGGCUGGCAAGUUGGUAGUCAACAUACGGAGAUAUUUGAAUAGAAAAACCCUGUUUGAAGGUUUGGAACCGCAUUUGAAGAAAUUUUGCAUAACAAACGAGAUUGAUUCAACUGCGGGUUUGCUUAAGAAACGUCUGUAAAUGCCUGGACAGUAUUUCCAGCUAAAUAUCGGGUCGCAUGCAACCUUCGUGUUUUAUGAGGUUAAAGGACAGGACUGGAGAAACUACAAGUGGUGUACUUGCAAAACCGUCAGUUACAACAAUCAAUCAAAAUGAUGACUGGGCCCAGCUGUGGUGUAAAGUUCCAGGUGCUUCUCCGAAGCCCUCUGUAGAAUGGAAGGAUCAUUCUGGGAAAAGGCUUUUGGAUAAAGUAGUUGCCAGUCAUGAGAACUUCAUCCUGGAGACCAUAGUAAACAAAACAGGCAACUAUACAUGCAUAGCUACACAAAAGGAACUUCACCAUAAGUCUAUUGAAAGUACAUAUAUACACUUUGCAGGGUCAAAGAACAGAGCAGAAGGAAGAAAAGCGAUCAAAUUCUUCUUAUUGCUGUUGUUGGUAGUGGUGGACUUGUUGCCUUAGUCUGUGUUUCCUGCUGCCAUCAUUUCAAGAUUUCCCAGGUAAAAUUACAAGGUGAAAGAAUUGACGUCGAGGGCAGAUCUCUGCUAUUUUGUUUUUUUAAUAUGUCACUAGAUAUUUGUUGGAGCAUAAUUCAGAGUUCAAGUAAAGUAAUUAAACAGAAGCAUUUUUUUUAUUAAAAAAAAAUGUAUUUAGAACAAUGAAAAUCAUAUUCCGCUUAAUUAAUUUCACUGCAAAAUUCUAUACACUUUGACCUUAUCUUCAUACUACUUAAAUUAGGUUAAUAUAUGAAGUGAACUAAAGUUGAACUAAAUCAAAUGCCAUGUUGUGACAAAGUUACAACAUGGUUAAUCACCAUUAAUCUCACAUUAAUGGAUUUCUUAAUGUAAUUUGAGUGCUUUUAACAACAUAUAAUUCUAGGUAGUAAAAUCUGAGUGUUUUUCUGCUUACAUCACAAAAGUGAUAAAGAGUGAAAAAUCAACUCAGAUGUGAAUGCAGAUGUAACUUCUCUGUAUUUUAUUUUUCAUCAAACUUCUUUUUACCUGUUACACAUUUUAAUAAAAUGUGUAAUAGUUUGUUUUUUGUCCGCUACAGAAAUUAAGACUUUUUAAAUCUUUUGUUACUGUUUUUUUCUUUUGGUGUGUUUAACUAAAGAAUUUCUGUUUCCAUGAAUGUUUUAAUUUACAAGAAUAAAAUUUGUAAAUAAACUGCUAUUGCUGAAUUUAUUCCAAAUGUAAUAUCCAUAGAAGCCAUUGUAUUGAAUUUUCUGUUCUUUAUUAUUGCAAGAUAGACAAAUUUAUGUAACCAGUUUUGCAGGUGGAAGAAGAGCUGUAAAGAUUUUUCAGUGGUUAUUUUGCUGUAUUGUUAUGGAAUUAAAAACUGUAACUAACAUA